UAGAUUUGGGUGGCGGACGGGUGAGUAACGCGUAAAGAACUUGCCUCACAGCUAGGGACAACAUUUAGAAAUGAAUGCUAAUACCUGAUAUUAUGAUUUUAAGGCAUCUUAGAAUUAUGAAAGCUAUAAGCACUGUGAGAGAGCUUUGCGUCCCAUUAGCUAGUUGGAGAGAUAACAGCUCACCAAGGCGAUGAUGGGUAGCCGGCCUGAGAGGGUGAACGGCCACAAGGGGACUGAGACACGGCCCUUACUCCUACGGGAGGCAGCAGUGGGGAAUAUUGGACAAUGGACCGAGAGUCUGAUCCAGCAAUUCUGUGUGCACGAUGAAGUUUUUCGGAAUGUAAAGUGCUUUCAGUUGGGAAGAAAAAAAUGACGGUACCAACAGAAGAAGUGACGGCUAAAUACGUGCCAGCAGCCGCGGUAAUACGUAUGUCACGAGCGUUAUCCGGAUUUAUUGGGCGUAAAGCGCGUCUAGGUGGUUAUGUAAGUCUGAUGUGAAAAUGCAGGGCUCAACUCUGUAUUGCGUUGGAAACUGUAUAACUAGAGUACUGGAGAGGUAAGCGGAACUACAAGUGUAGAGGUGAAAUUCGUAGAUAUUUGUAGGAAUGCCGAUGGGGAAGCCAGCU
Molecule: ribosomal RNA, 626 nt
Filed under: uncultured Fusobacteriota bacterium
Lineage: Bacteria; Fusobacteriati; Fusobacteriota
Description: bacterial SSU rRNA
Rfam family: Bacterial small subunit ribosomal RNA
Source: RNAcentral